Molecule: long non-coding RNA, 1701 nt
Filed under: Ornithorhynchus anatinus (platypus)
Lineage: Eukaryota; Metazoa; Chordata; Mammalia; Monotremata; Ornithorhynchidae
Description: lncRNA (ENSOANG00000034096.2)
Source: RNAcentral
AUAUUAAACUUCUAAGCAGGAGGAAGAAAUGAUGUCAGCAGAAAUAAUUGCAUUUUUGACAGAGAUUGGGUGUGUUUUGCCCAUUACCUCAUCAAGUCCCCCUUCUGCUUGGUGGAAAGUCAAGUCAAUGCUAGAGGUGAGUCACCUACUGGUUGGAGUCUCUAAAAGGAGCAGUUUCACCGAAGAGCAGCAGUAUGAGGCAUUCCUCUGCUCAUCAGGAGAAGAUCGGAGCUCAGAAGACACUGGAGAAAUUGAAUCUACUACACAGCUCAGGAAGAAAUGAGCUCUUACUGGGCAACAGAGCUGCAUUAGUGGGGGAGAUCACCAGAGGGUUCUGAAGAUUGGUGCCACUGACUGGAUGAUGAUGGCAAUAGGUGACGUGAACCCCAAUGGCUUCACAGCUCUAUGUUCUCAUCAGCUGGCCUGACGGGAGCAGAGUCAUCAAUAUAGAAAACAUCAAAGAGCCCCAAAAACCAGUUCACCUGUAUUCAGUGGGUGAGCAGGUGCUAGCCCAGUGUCCCGGCUUCUGUGGCUUAUACUGGGGGGUCGUGGAAGACGUAAGUGGUAAGCCACAGGUAUCAGUUAGAAAAGAUGAGUCUGGGGUGAGAACUCUUUCUAAGGGCAAAAGCACUACAGAACUAAUAUCCUUUUCUUUCAACAGAGUGUCAGGAUGUCCUGGAGAAGAAACUUCAGAAAGAGAAACACCUACUUAAAAAAUUCAAGAAGGGGCCAGAAGCAUUUGGCCCCCUGCCCACUGAUAAGAAGUCGAAGAAGAGUUUUCCCAACUGGGUACCGGGCAUACCACCAAAGAAAAAUCAAGGUGGCAGAAUUCUUCCUGUUGACUACCCAUCGGUAUCAGCCCCCCAGAAUGCUCCUGCUGCUUCUCAUAUCACCUCUCCCCUUACCGAGGAAAGGGUCAUUCCAGAGCCACCCGUCAUCCACCAUGCCAUAACCCCACAGUCUCCGUUGGUCAGUGCUUUUAGCUUCCCCGCUUCCUUCCUGGAUCAGGAUGAAGCAGGGACAUCUCAGAAAGAAGAGGCAGACCCCCAGCUGAAGAAUGAAACAGAGACCAGAGGUUGUGUUACCCUGGCACUGAAAAGGAAGGCGGAUGGCAUUGUAGUUCAGUGUCAAGAACAUGUCCCCAGAGCAAGGGUUUUUUAUUCUCUUAGUUGUGAUGACCCCAAAAGCAAAAGCGCUCCCGAAAUGAACGAAUUUGACAGCUGCCAGAAAAGUUUCCGGACUUGUGAAAUGGAAAGGGAGAAGAUCGGCCAACUGGAGCGACUGGUGUGGGAUUUGCAGCGGGAAGUGAUUUCCCUGAAGAAGAAGGUUCAGAAGUUGGAAUCUGCAUCUCUGCGGGAAGAAGCCCCCGGACCACAGUUCCAGAUGGUGGAGUUGUUCAAUGGCUACACCAGGGAGCAGUUGAGAGAGACCAUCCGCUUUGACCAGAAGGUCAGCACAGCCUGCAAGACGCUGCUCUAUAAGCUCUUCACCUCCGACUACAUCCAGAGCCACUCCAUCACAGGCCGCAGGGGAAACACUUUUAGGGAGGCCAAGCCCAUGAUGGACGAGCGCUGCAUCAAGGUCAUCCGCCUCCUGUUGAAGCAGAAGUUCGGGGAUCACCUCAGUGACACAGUCAUCACCGAGAAGAUCCAAAAUGUGCAGAAAGCUCUGAGGCAGAAGUACAAGGCAGAGUGUCUGUAA